CAGUAGCCGCGGUAAUACAGAGGGUGCGAGCGUUAAUCGGAUUUACUGGGCGUAAAGCGUGCGUAGGCGGCUUUUUAAGUCGGAUGUGAAAUCCCUAAGCUUAACUUAGGAAUUGCAUUCGAUACUGGGAAGCUAGAGUAUGGGAGAGGAUGGUAGAAUUCCAGGUGUAGCGGUGAAAUGCGUAGAGAUCUGGAGGAAUACCGAUGGCGAAGGCAGCCAUCUGGCCUAAUACUGACGCUGAGGUACGAAAGCAUGGGGAGCAAACAGGAUUAGAUACCCCGGUAGUCCCUGUCUCUUAUAC
This 301-nucleotide ribosomal RNA is filed under the name uncultured bacterium. RNAcentral describes it as "partial 16S ribosomal RNA". It matches the Rfam family "Bacterial small subunit ribosomal RNA", at positions 509 to 807 of the family's 1533-position model. The record is from RNAcentral.